UUAGGUUAAGUUAUGAAGGGCGCAUGGUGAAUGCCUUGGUACUAGGAGCCGAUGAAGGACGGGACUAACACCGAUAUGCUUCGGGGAGCGGUAAGUACGCUUUGAUCCGGAGAUUUCCGAAUGGGGCAACCCAAUCAGCUUAGUCGCUGAUUACUUGACUAGUGAAUACAUAGCUAGCAAGAGGUAGACGCAGUGAACUGAAACAUCUUAGUAGCUGCAGGAAGAGAAAGAAACAUCGAUUCCCUGAGUAGCGGCGAGCGAAAAGGGAAGAGCCCAAACCAACGAGCUUGCUUGUUGGGGUUGUAGGACUGAACAUUAGAGUUACCAAAGUGCGACGUAGUCGCAACAGUUGGGAAGCUGUGCCAUAGAGGGUGAAAGCCCCGUAGACGAAACGUC
Molecule: ribosomal RNA, 396 nt
Filed under: Limosilactobacillus reuteri
Lineage: Bacteria; Bacillati; Bacillota; Bacilli; Lactobacillales; Lactobacillaceae
Also listed under: 1 other name
Description: bacterial LSU rRNA
Rfam family: Bacterial large subunit ribosomal RNA
Source: RNAcentral